This is a non-coding RNA of Podarcis lilfordi (Lilford's wall lizard), 77 nucleotides long. The record is from the annotation of a GenBank genome assembly. Lineage: Eukaryota; Metazoa; Chordata; Lepidosauria; Squamata; Lacertidae.
GGCAGUUAGCUCAGUUGGUUGGAGUGUGGUGCUGAUAAUGCCACGGUCAUGGGUUCAAGCCACCAAGGAUGGGUUCA